UUGCAGUUUUAGGAAUGCUUGAUAGAGAUCCUGCAGAUGUUUGUCUCUGUCUGAGAGACUGGAGCAAACACGGUUGUAUCUUAAAGCUUGGCUGUAGACAAUGGAUCGUGUGAUGUGGUCUGGAUGAAAGCUGGAGGCAUGUAGGUAAGUAUAGUGGUCAGUAGGUUUCCGGUAUAGGGUGGUGUUUAUGUGACCAUCA
Chelonia mydas (Green sea turtle) is the source of this 199-nucleotide long non-coding RNA. RefSeq lists it as uncharacterized. The transcript has 3 exons. Lineage: Eukaryota; Metazoa; Chordata; Testudines; Cheloniidae. The record is from RefSeq and is a predicted model, not a curated record.